RNAcentral lists this ribosomal RNA (410 nucleotides) under uncultured bacterium. RNAcentral's name for it is "partial 16S ribosomal RNA". It matches the Rfam family "Bacterial small subunit ribosomal RNA", at positions 355 to 757 of the family's 1533-position model. The record is from RNAcentral.
UGGGGAAUAUUGCACAAUGGGCGCAAGCCUGAUGCAGCCAUGCCGCGUGUAUGAAGAAGGCCUUCGGGUUGUAAAGUACUUUCAGCGGGGAGGAAGGCGAUAAGGUUAAUAACCUUGUCGAUUGACGUUACCCGCAGAAGAAGCACCGGCUAACUCCGUGCCAGCAGCCGCGGUAAUACGGAGGGUGCAAGCGUUAAUCGGAAUUACUGGGCGUAAAGCGCACGCAGGCGGUCUGUCAAGUCGGAUGUGAAAUCCCCGGGCUCAACCUGGGAACUGCAUUCGAAACUGGCAGGCUAGAGUCUUGUAGAGGGGGGUAGAAUUCCAGGUGUAGCGGUGAAAUGCGUAGGGAUCUGGAGGAAUACCGGUGGCGAAGGCGGCCCCCUGGACAAAGACUGACGCUCAGGUGCGAA